RNAcentral lists this long non-coding RNA (838 nucleotides) under Meleagris gallopavo (turkey). RNAcentral describes it as "lncRNA (ENSMGAG00000021719.1)". Lineage: Eukaryota; Metazoa; Chordata; Aves; Galliformes; Phasianidae. The record is from RNAcentral.
AGGGCGUGGCGGUGUCGCCACGUGGGCUGAAGCUGCUGCCCUGCGCGGGGCCGGUCCGUCGGUCCGUGCUCUCGUUCUGAUGGCGGUUUGUCGUUCCGAGCUCAUCUGUGGGUGUUUAACCCGCUGGCUGUGCAGGAGUGAUUUUUCUCAGGACUCGCACCGUGGCGUGGAGCGCCAGCAGCAGAGGGGCUCUGGCGGUCUCUGUCCGUGCCCGGUCGGCUGCUCCUCUCCCUUCUCUGCUCAUCUUAGGGUUUCUUUAACGGCUCUGUUUGUGGUCACAUCCCUGUGCUGCUCUUCUCAGCGCGGGUGUGCGCUUUCCUUUGAUUUGAGCUUGUUUUCUGGUCUCCAUCAGCUCUGCAGGCACCUCGUGUCGGUGCGCGCUGUGUCUGCUGGGACGUCGAUCCGCAGGGAGGGGAGCACAAAAAAUCCGCGUCCCGUUAAGCGGGGCAGAGCAGCAGCAGCAGCUGAAGGCUCUGAAGUUCACAGGCUGCUGUCUGCACGUGGAGGUGUUGCGUUGUUUCACCACGUGGCCUCGGUUCUGCAGUCUACAGGAAGAAGAGGUUUCAGAGCAUUCAGCAUCUCCCCUGUGAGCCCCUUGUAUGUGGUACCUGAGCAGCAACGUGCCCACGUGUGCCUGGAGCUGCCCUGUACCUGCAGCGUGCUGCCUGCACUGCUGUCACUUGGGACAAAUCCAUCAUUGGAGAGGUCUGGGCAUCCCUGCUAUGUCCCAUUGGUGUCAGCAUUGGUGGAAGGAAGAGAACCAGUCCCUGCUGUGAUGCUGGGGUGCCCUAUGCUGAAUUCCACAGGUGCCAAGAGAGGAGGAACUGCCACUUCCUAG